CCGACUUUGAGUUAUCAUUUCUUUCUUAUAGAAUUAGCAAAAAUCUGAAAGUUUGACAACUACUUUGUGAUGGAGGCAGAGAAGCACCCCCACUAAACACACAUCACACACACGUACACACACACAUACACGCACACACAAGUACGCACCCAAACACACAGUACACACACAAGUAGACACAUACAUGCAAACAGUACAUGUGCACACAUGUACAUGCACAUACUACAUCUGCACACAUACACAUGCACAUACUACAUCUGCACACAUACACAUGUACAUGCACACACAUACACAUACAUGUACACACACACCCUCUCACAGGAGCUUGGUGGAGUGGUCUGCUCAUUUCAGCUUCUCUAUCUGCCUACUGGCCUAAGCUGAAGUCACAAGACUGCAACCUCUCCUAGCCUCAGCCUUCUGAACUUUAAGCCCAGGGAAUUGUCACUGCUCUUACUUCAUAGACAAGAGGAAAUCUUUUUUAAACCCAGCUUUCUUGGGGACACUACCCCAUCUGUGUGUAGCCACCAUUCUUUGCUUCCCAGCUGCCAAAAUUCUUGUGGCCACUACAGCUGUAGAUAAAAACAGACUGCAGGUAUAUACUGAUUCUUCCUGCUAAAGCGUUUAGGUGCUUCCUCACCUAAAUGCUUUCUAGACUCAGAUGGUGGACAAGCUAUCCUGUUCUGAGAAAGCUAAUGAAGGCCAGGCUAAAGGAACUGUCUUUACAUCAUAUUUUCUUUCUUCUCAAAUGUAUAUGUACAAACGUUGAUGCUUUUCCUUUCUUGUUGUUGUUGUUGUUGUUGUUGUUCACAGCUCAUGGAAUUCCACUUAAGGGAAACUCAUAUAAAAUGCUCUAAUUUUUAAAAAUAUUCUGCAGCUUUUUCAUUCUCUGUCUUCAAAAAUAUGCCAAGUUGCCUCAGUAAAGAAUGCUGUUUUGUAUAUCAUGCCUGAUUGAAAAAAUUCUGCUCAACGAUGAUUGCAUGAAGAAUGGACAGUCCACCCUCUCAUCCAGAUGGCCCGAAAGGUGCCCUUGGUGUCCAUCAGACUGUCAGACUGCUGUUUACUGGGGCAGCUCCCAGGGUCUCUGCUCUUCUUUUGAGUCUGCACCACCGACAUCCUUUUAAGCUUCAAUUGGAGCUCCUGAUGCUUGCGAGCAAAGGAUAAAAGCUGCUGUGGAAGGAUGCCUGUUUGCAAGGAGGAAAGAGCGAGCUUCCUGCUUCCCAGGUCCCUGGCAUGCUCCCCCUGGUGGAAAGGCACUCCCUCCAAACUCUUGGAGAGGACUCAGGCUAAAAGUGGCAAGCUACUUCCAAGUUCCAGGUGACCCAUAGGCUGUGAUGUGAGUCUUAGCUAUCUUUUAAGUACUACUAUAGUUCUAUGAUUAGUUCAGGCACAACUCAUCAUCUGAGAGCCACUCAUUGCAACGUGGAGUUGCUCUCUACCUUAGUGCACAAACUGAGAAGGACGCUUGGCUUUUGAGACAACGUGGUGUUUAAUCACCAGGAUAAUAGAAACAUCACAAAAUACAGUAACAGGAUGGCCCAGGGUGAGAGAAGCAAAGCGUAUGCAGAGUCUGGCUCAUACUUGUACGGCUUCCCUGCCAGCACAGUCUUCCUCUCGAUCCAAAGCAGAUAAUUGGACAACUCGGUGUACACUCCAGGCAUGUUCUUCUGGCCACAGCCCACACCCCAGCUGAUAAUACCCAGCUGGUACCAUGUGCUUUUGUUUUUUUUCUGGCAAACCAGAGGCCCCCCUACUGUCACCCUAGGAAAGAAAGGUUGUUUGGGAGGGGAAGGGGCAGGAACAAGUUACUCCUAUAGCUUACUGAGGUGCA
Molecule: long non-coding RNA, 1828 nt
Filed under: Pan troglodytes (chimpanzee)
Lineage: Eukaryota; Metazoa; Chordata; Mammalia; Primates; Hominidae
Description: long non-coding RNA NONPTRT017332
Source: RNAcentral